GUCUCAUUUUUCAUUUCCUUGUUAUUUCAUUUCGUCGUUUUAUUUAUUGCUAAUGUGUAAUUUGCUAAAUUCACAAUCAUAUACGUGCCGGACAUAUGUAUGCCUCAUUUAAUAUGCAGUACUGAGCUCCGAUGUGAAGGAUCGGGAAUGCCAUCGUCAGAAUUAACAGUUUAAAAUCGUGUGGAGCUUGAUAUUAACAAAUGCCACUAAAGCAGAAUUUAAUCCUUCAAACUACCGCUUUCAUCAGUAUCAGUUCAGCUCAUGAUUGCUGAUGUCGAGCUGGUCUCCGUAAUUGGAUUACGAAGGAGCCUCAUUGCCUCAUCACCGCUGCUUUCCGAGUCAACAAAUCCCUGGAUCUUGUCGAUGACAUCGAGUGAACUAAGGGUUACAAGAUUACAUCCUUGAUUAAGCAGUAAUGAAGGAUCAUUUGUGGACGCUACGAAGGACAGGAAACAUUAAAUAAAAGUAUGUGAACCGGUGAGAAAGGAAACGGAAAUGACAUCUCCAUGUAAGGCUUCCAAGGAUAGUCGGCUUGUAUAUUUUAAAGUAGUAAUAGUUCGCUGAUUGAUUUAGUCGAAGACUGUGUGAAAUAUUAAUGAUUCAACACGGAUGCUUCAAGGACCCUGUCGCUUAAUUGGGCGGAUUGGGAAACUCAAGAGUUGAGACAGGAAGGGAUGGCUUGCUUAAAACUUCUCGAACACCGCUAGAGGAGGCUUAUUAGCUGAAAUUACUUCCUCAGUGCACCUACCACCGGAUCGGAAUCGCGACCCACUGAGAAGAUCCGGUGAGAAACUCUCCGGGCUGAUGCUACUACGGCUUGCGCUAAACUAUGAUCUUUGUACAAUACAAAAAAGUUACUGAUGUUGUAUAUACUUACAUUUGUUUUAGCAUAUAAAAUUAGCUGGUUUGGUUACGCUUUAUUCAUCUCUACUUUAAUGUACUCUGCAGAGGUUAAUUUUGUUUCCUGCACCACAUUUGUACAUAUUAUUUUUGUGACUAUGUAUAUUCUUUUGACUGCUCUAUAUGGGCAAAUUUGUUCACGCCCCACCAGAUGUUUAAUGGUUAUGCUGUUUACUGCUUCGAUUUUGGAUUAGGAUUCUUAAUUGCUCCAUUUAGUAGGUUUUCUACCAAAUGUACUCCACAAGACAGAUACUGUACAAAAUUAUACUCUACCAGACUGC
This is a long non-coding RNA of Bombyx mori (domestic silkworm), 1181 nucleotides long. RefSeq lists it as uncharacterized. Lineage: Eukaryota; Metazoa; Arthropoda; Insecta; Lepidoptera; Bombycidae. The transcript is spliced from 4 exons. The record is from RefSeq and is a predicted model, not a curated record.